GCUGGGUCCUUGAUCCACUUUAAGUUGAGUUUUGUACAUGGUGGGAGACAGGGGUUUAAUUUCAUUUUGUUGCAUAUGGAUUUCCAAUUUUCCCAGCACCAUUUGUUGAAGAGGCUAUCUUUUCUCCAAUGUAAAUUUUUGGAUAGGUAAAGAAGAACUCAAAUUAGCACUAUUUGCUGAUGAUAUGAUUCUAUAACUAGAAGACCCAGAAAAUUCCACCACAAAACUUCCAGAACUAGUAAAUGAAUUCAGCAAAGUAGCAGGAUACAAAAUCAACACCCAUAAAUCAAAGGCAUUUCUGUAUAUCAGUGACAAAUCCUCUGAAAGGGAAACAAGGAAAACUACCCCAUUUACAAUAGCAUUAAAAAAUAAAAUAAAAUACUUAGGAAUAAACUUAACAAAAGAGGUAAAAGACCUCCACAAUGAAAACUACAGAAUGCUGAAGAAAGAAAUUAAAGAAGAUCUUAGAAGAUGGAAAGAUCUACCUUGGAUAGGCAGAAUUAAUAUUGUCAAAAUGACCACACUACCGAAAGCACCAUACAGAUUUAAUGCAAUUCCAAUCAAAAUCCCAACAACAUUCCUCAUAGAAAUAGAAAAAGGAGUCAUGAAAUUCAUCUGGAAAAUAAGAGACCCAGAAUAGCUAAAGCAAGUGGCAUCACUAUACUAGAUCUUAAACUAUACUACAGAGCAAUAGUAACAAAAACAGCAUGGUAUUGACACCAAAAUAGACUGGAAAACCAAUGGUACAGAAUAGAGAAAACAGAGACUAACCCACAUAACUUCAGUUAUCUUCUCUGUUCUUAUGAACCUUCCACAUCCCCAGCACACACACAAACAGAACUGUGUCUCUCCCCAUAAGACUAGGGUAUCUUUAUUCUUGAAACAAAGACUUUGAGUGAUUUCAAUAUGCAGGGUACAAAGCUAAAUAGUAGAGGACAAAAACAGGGUUUAUAAUCUGCUCAGGAAUACAUGCAUGAGGGAAAAUUAUCCUUUUACAGGAUGGAAUUUGUGAGUAAUCUGGUUUGUUGUAUUCUUACAAAAAUAAAUGUGGUAGGC
RNAcentral lists this long non-coding RNA (1056 nucleotides) under Marmota monax (woodchuck). Lineage: Eukaryota; Metazoa; Chordata; Mammalia; Rodentia; Sciuridae. The record is from RNAcentral.